GGGCCCGCACAAGCGGUGGAGUAUGUGGUUUAAUUCGAUGCAACGCGAAGAACCUUACCAGGGUUUGACAUCCUGCGAAUCUCUUGGAAACAGGAGAGUGCCUUCGGGAACGCAGUGACAGGUGGUGCAUGGCUGUCGUCAGCUCGUGUCGUGAGAUGUUGGGUUAAGUCCCGCAACGAGCGCAACCCACGUCUUUAGUUGCCAGCAUUUAGUUGGGCACUCUAGAGAGACUGCCGGUGAUAAACCGGAGGAAGGUGUGGAUGACGUCAAGUCAUCAUGCCCCUUACAUCCUGGGCUACACACGUACUACAAUGCUACGGACAGAGGGCAGCAAGUUCGCGAGGACAAGCAAA
This 353-nucleotide ribosomal RNA is filed under the name uncultured bacterium. Its description in RNAcentral is "bacterial SSU rRNA". It matches the Rfam family "Bacterial small subunit ribosomal RNA", at positions 917 to 1271 of the family's 1533-position model. The record is from RNAcentral.